Long non-coding RNA from Taeniopygia guttata (zebra finch), 2592 nucleotides. Lineage: Eukaryota; Metazoa; Chordata; Aves; Passeriformes; Estrildidae. The record is from Ensembl.
CAUUUAAAAUGGUUUAUUUAAAAAGUAAGGAUUAAGUACAUUAUACAUGGUUGUGAUUAUACCAGUAGAACUGAAGCACAGUGGAAAUAACACUUUAGAACUGCAGACAGAAAUGUAGCCUCAAGGGACAUGAUAUAUUAGCCCUUGUGGAUAUGUGAUCCAUACAGAGAGAAAAAGAAACAGAAAAAUAGUUUAUUGUUAGAUGUCUGGGCAGCUGAAGUGAUUUCUCCUUUUACUCCUAUUGUGUAUGAGAAAUAAGGAAGAGAGAGCUCAUGGUAUACCUGAAAUUUUGUUUCUUGGAAAAUCAAAUCUGAUCCAAUAGCAUUUUUUUGUUUUUUUUAGUUCUGUUGCUACAGUAUGUUAUAUACCAAAAGACUGAUUAUUGUUAAUGAUAUGGUUUUAUGGUAUCUGCAGGCCUUGCUGGGAAAUGGGGCUCAUUUGUUCGAUGCUGUCCAGGGAAACCAGAGAGAUGUGGAAGAACAGAUGAUGUUUUUAAACUAUCACUGAGUGGUUUCAAAUCACAAUCUAACUCUGUUCAAAUACAUCAACCAUGGAGCAAGACUGCUCAUGGGCAGGAAUGCUGCAAAUCUUUCAGUUUUGUCAGAAUCAAAGUUUUUCAUGAGAAAGGACUGGGGUUUUGAGUUUUUUGAGUUUUUUUUGUGGUUUUUGUGUUUUGUGUUUGUUUGUUUGUUUGUUUUCUGGAAUUGUCAAAUGAAUUUUUUUUUUUGUUUUGACUUUGGUUGAACAAUUUGCUGCACUGCAACUUAACUGCUGAGUUUUCAGUCGCAGCCCUUGUUCCACAGGACAAAACCUCUGGUCCCUGUUAUGUCCACAUGAUUUUGUUCCCUCUCCAGACCCCAUAAGCAUCCCAUGAUCCCUACCCUAACUCCAUUUUUUGAAGGUGCCUGCUGGAGAAGGAGCAGAUGCUCCAGCUUGGACCAAAACAGGGCACCACUCCUGGAGAGCUGCUGGACCCAGCCCUGCCCUGGGGGAGGAGGCCCUGGCAAAGAGCAACAUCCCAAACGCUCAGCAAGACUUUCUUUUUUUUCUGCCAAAAAUACUGCAUGUGCCUCUGCAGGUCGGAGCUGGGCUGAAGAAAAACCUUGGACUUUGUCUGGAACCAGGUGGGUGGUUUGAAGCACAUUCACUGGAGAACGACGACUAAAAGAACAAAACCCACGGGCGGAGCAAACCUCACACUGUCCACUUCCAGUUCAAGGUACAUGAGUUUAGAGAAACAGCCUAUAUCUAACUCCUGGUUUGAAAAGGGAAUGGUUUUAUUCUUAAUUACAGUAAACACGGAUGAGGACUUAGUUCUAACUAUUAGUUUUUUAACACAGUGGGAAACAAAUAGUUCUGGGAAAUUGCACUUGAAAAAUACAUUGACUAUAAUUAGAUGUAAAUUAAUUAGCACUUAGUAUGACACACUAAUGAGACAGAAGGUUGGUUUUUGUUCAUUGCAAACUUCUACUUCUAUCAUAGCUAAUCAAAGUAUUUUAAUAUUACGAAGUCUCAAAAAGUAGGAAAUAAUUUAUUGUUUGAAAGCAUAAAGAUUCUUGUAAAAAAAACCUUUCAUCAAGAACUUUAAUAAUUUUAGAACCCUUUUAUGUUGUCCUAGCCGAAAAGUAGGUAAAAAAGUUUUCUUUUCUGCCUCUGUUUGAUUUUUUUUUAAAAAGCUUGUGUAACAUCUUUCUCCAUAGUGUGUUGAUACAGAAAGUAGCACAACAUUUUCUAGUUUUAAAUCAUUCCCAUUGCUCCAUUUGCUUUAGCUCUCAGAGUUCAGAGGUUUGAAAAAAGGAUCCCAGCAGAGUUUUAACCUGAAUGGAAACUCUUAAUGAGCAGGGAUGAAGGCUCCAACCCAGCCCUGCCAAAAUAAAGAUGUGGCUGUGCCAGGCCGAGGGCCAGGCAGAGCUUAACAGUGACUAGGGGAAGACUCUCGCUUAAAACUGAGAAUUGUGUCUUGUUUCUUGCAAGGAGAGAGGCUUGAGUGGGUUUCUCUGGGGGGAGAGGGGAUUCAACUUCCUUUUUGGGAUGUUAAGGCAGCUUCUCCAGGAUUUCCCUGGAGGACUUGGUUCCACUAGCUGAAAGCCUCAUAUCCAAACCACCACUGAGUCUCUGGCUCUGGGGCCAUCAUAGGAUAAAUUAAGACCAAAGAGGUUUUAACAGUUUGGCUGAGAUCUCCCACUACCAGUGACCCAAACUUUCCAAAUUAUGGAUUUUUUUCUUGUCACCACUUGUCUAGUGUUCUAGCAGAGAUUUUCUGGGCAAAGAUGAUGGGGAUAUUCCAAGGAAUCUACAGGAAUUAGAUGCUCCUCUCUCACUGCAUCUAAUUCAUCUGAGGGGAAUCGGGCACCUCAUUCUCAUAUGGCUUGGUCAAGUCGUCACUAAAAUCAGAAUGAGUACUAUUAAAUUAAAUUACCUUUGAGUCAGGCCAUCGAGCUUUGAGAUCCAAGCCUAAGUAUAAAAACUGAAAGCAGGAAUUUAUAAGAAAAGAAAAUAACAUUUCAGACUGUUUUAGAAACAUACAGAAGCAAAGGGUACAAAUUAGUUCCCUCCUUACGUGAUGCAUAGAGUUUGCUGUGGGCUCUCUGC